This is a long non-coding RNA of Onychostoma macrolepis, 1313 nucleotides long. RefSeq lists it as uncharacterized. The transcript is spliced from 3 exons. Lineage: Eukaryota; Metazoa; Chordata; Actinopteri; Cypriniformes; Cyprinidae. The record is from RefSeq and is a predicted model, not a curated record.
ACAUGCAUUUUGACAGUUUCGCGUAUGUGUCAUUUCAGGCACAAAUAGACACGGAACUGAAUGGAAUUCAGUGUUCACAUAUAUCUGAGUGGCUCUCACCGUGUCUACAAAGGGCGCUGGCAAAAUACAAUAGAACCCAUUAUAAUCAGUGAUGCCGUCUACACUGGAUGCGGCGCGACACGGCAAAUCCUUGCGAGGAAAUCCUCAUUCUUUUAUGACGUACUGACACAAAGUUCAAAGGAUUUGCAACGGUCGCUUUUUCGCGUCCAGUGAAGACAGUGCGUCGCGGGGUGGCGUGAUGCGAUAGCUGUCGCGAAAACGAUCAGUAUAAAUAUAACGGUCAGUAUACUAAAAAUCGCACAUUCUGCGAUGUGACUAUCGCGGAUGUGCAUAUCGCGAUAUCGAUGCUGAAACGAUAUAUCGUGCAGCCCUACUGGACAGCUGUAUCUACAGUACACCACACUGACCUCUGCUUUUGCAUAGAAGGGAGGAACUUGUCAACAAAUCUACCUCACAGCGCAUCAAUGAAAGCAGUUUGGCAAUUACAGACGGGCGUGUUGGAUCAGGGUUAGAUCUGAAUUCUGCAGGUUUUCUGGAUUCCCAGUUGAAGACAUCAGUACAUCAGAUGUUGGCCUGGACAGUAGGGCUGCACGAUAUUGGAAAAAACUCACAUUGCGAUAUUUUGUAUUUCUGCGAUAUAUAUUGCGAUAUGAAAAAAAAAAAAACUUGAAAAGCUCUAUUUGGAAAAAAAAUAUUGUAGAUGAGUAAAUCAGCAUAGAAAAAUGAACAAAUUACAAACAUAGAUAAAUAUAAUAGAACAAAGAUAUAAAAUAAAUAAACAGUGCUUUAUAUUUUUUCCAGUAAGUCUAACAGUAUUCAGGUAUACUGGUUGAAUAAUCAAAUGUAAAAUAACACUGUAUAAAUUAAAUCUAAUAAAUCUGUUAAAGCUACAAAAGUGAUUUUUCUCUGUGUUUUGCUGUUUGAUUAACAUUCAUGACACUGAAAGCCUUAGGAACAUUAAACUGCUGUGAGCCUAUACUAUCCAUUUUCUUUAUCAAUUUUUUACCUUCACCUAAGCCAUAAGCAACUGUGUUUACAAGGAAACUUGCAGAGACAUGCAUUUUGACAGUUUCGCGCGUAUGUGUCAUUUCAGGCACAAAUAGACACGGAACUGAAUGGAAUUCAGUGUUCACAUAUAUCUGAGUGGCUCUCACCGUGUCUACAAAGGGCGCUGGCAAAAUACAAUAGAACCCAUUAUAAUCAGUGAUGCCGUCUACACUGGAUGCGGCGCGACACGGCAAAUCCUUGCGAGG